This 82-nucleotide transfer RNA is filed under the name Leptospiraceae bacterium. Its description in RNAcentral is "tRNA-Leu". It matches the Rfam family "tRNA". From Rfam's summary of the family: Transfer RNA (tRNA) molecules are approximately 80 nucleotides in length. Their secondary structure includes four short double-helical elements and three loops (D, anti-codon, and T loops). The record is from RNAcentral. Lineage: Bacteria; Pseudomonadati; Spirochaetota; Leptospiria; Leptospirales; Leptospiraceae.
GCGAGUGUGGUGAAAUUGGUAGACACGCCAGAUUUAGGUUCUGGUGCCAUACGGUGUGGGGGUUCAAGUCCCUCCACUCGCA